RNAcentral lists this ribosomal RNA (465 nucleotides) under Vreelandella stevensii. RNAcentral describes it as "partial 16S ribosomal RNA". It matches the Rfam family "Bacterial small subunit ribosomal RNA", at positions 338 to 795 of the family's 1533-position model. The record is from RNAcentral. Lineage: Bacteria; Pseudomonadati; Pseudomonadota; Gammaproteobacteria; Oceanospirillales; Halomonadaceae.
CCUACGGGUGGCAGCAGUGGGGAAUAUUGGACAAUGGGGGGAACCCUGAUCCAGCCAUGCCGCGUGUGUGAUGAAGGCCCUCGGGUUGUAAAGCACUUUCAGUGAGGAAGAACGCCUGGUGGUUAAUACCCAUCAGGAAAGACAUCACUCACAGAGGAAGCACCGGCUAACUCCGUGCCAGCAGCCGCGGUAAUACGGAGGGUGCGAGCGUUAAUCGGAAUUACUGGGCGUAAAGCGCGCGUAGGUGGCUUGAUAAGCCGGUUGUGAAAGCCCCGGGCUCAACCUGGGAACGGCAUCCGGAACUGUCAAGCUAGAGUGCAGGAGAGGAAGGUAGAAUUCCCGGUGUAGCGGUGAAAUGCGUAGAGAUCGGGAGGAACACCAGUGGCGAAGGCGGCCUUCUGGACUGAAACUGACACUGAGGUGCGAAAGCGUGGGUAGCAAACAGGAUUAGAUACCCGUGUAGUC